UACGUAGGUGGCAAGCGUUGUCCGGAUUUAUUGGGCGUAAAGGGAGCGCAGGCGGUUCUUUAAGUCUGCUGUGAAAGCCCCCGGCUCAACCGGGGAAUGGCAUUGGAAACUGGGUCACUUGAGUGCAGAAGAGGAAAGCGGAAUUCCAUGUGUAGCGGUGAAAUGCGUAGAUAUCUGGAGGAAUACCAGUGGCGAAGGCGGCUUUCUGGACUGUAACUGACGCUGAGGCGCGAAAGCGUGGGUAGCAAACAGG
Molecule: ribosomal RNA, 253 nt
Filed under: uncultured bacterium
Lineage: Bacteria
Description: partial 16S ribosomal RNA
Rfam family: Bacterial small subunit ribosomal RNA
Source: RNAcentral